Molecule: ribosomal RNA, 440 nt
Filed under: uncultured bacterium
Lineage: Bacteria
Description: partial 16S ribosomal RNA
Rfam family: Bacterial small subunit ribosomal RNA
Source: RNAcentral
CCUACGGGAGGCAGCAGUAGGGAAUAUUGCUCAAUGGGGGAAACCCUGAAGCAGCAACGCCGCGUGGAGGAUGAAGGUUUUCGGAUUGUAAACUCCUUUUGUUAGAGAAGAUAAUGACGGUAUCUAACGAAUAAGCACCGGCUAACUCCGUGCCAGCAGCCGCGGGAAUACGGAGGGUGCAAGCGUUACUCGGAAUCACUGGGCGUAAAGAGCGAGUAGGCGGGAUAGCAAGUCAGAUGUGAAAUCCUAUGGCUUAACCAUAGAACUGCAUUUGAAACUGUUAUUCUAGAGUAUGGGAGAGGUAGGUGGAAUGCUUGGUGUAGGGGUAAAAUCCGUAGAGAUCAAGAGGAAUACUCAUUGCGAAGGCGACCUGCUAGAACAUAACUGACGCUGAUGCGCGAAAGCGUGGGGAGCAAACAGGAUUAGAUACCCUAGUAGUC